GACGAACGCUGGCGGCGUGCUUAACACAUGCAAGUCGAACGGAAAGGCCCUGCUCUUGCUGGUUUCUCGAUUGGCGAACGGGUGAGUAACACGCGAGUAUCCUCCCCUUGACAUUGUGAUAACUUCAGGGAACUGCGGCGCUUACCGCAUAUGAGCUCCUGCUCCGUGGGGGUGGUUGGUAAGAUUCGGCGGUUGUGGCUGGUCUCGCGGGUUAUCCGCUACUUGGUGGGGUAGGGGCUUACCAGGGCUUCGACGGAUAGCCGGCCUGGGAGGGUGGCCGGCCACAAGGGGACUGAGAGACGGCCCAGAAUGCUACGGGACGCAGCAGUGGAGAGUAUGGCACAGUGGGGCGAAGCCAGAGACAACGACGCCGGGUGCGGGAUGACGGGCUACGGGUUGUGAACCGAUUUCGCCUGUGACAAGCAGUGAGUGACGGUACUGGGUAAAGAAGCACCGGCUAACUACGUG
Molecule: ribosomal RNA, 468 nt
Filed under: uncultured bacterium
Lineage: Bacteria
Description: partial 16S ribosomal RNA
Rfam family: Bacterial small subunit ribosomal RNA
Source: RNAcentral